UUUUUUUUUUCUAUAAGAAGAGAGAAAAAAAAAACAAUAAUGCAGAGUUGAACUGCUACGGAAUAGACCCAAUUGCAGCAAUCCUUUCUGCACACCAGCAUCGGGGUAAGGGAGAUGCCAUCCUCAUGGAGACUGUUGAAACAGACAAGAAGGUGGAUCACAGUUUGGUAUCACAAUACGGGAGCCCACUUUGCCCCUUCCUUUCCUCCAAGUCCCUGAGAAAUUGCAGAGGGAGCGCUUUGUUCUUCUUACCCUUGGUGUUGACGUCUAAAAGGCUAUCGCAGACAUGAUACCUCCCACUUGCCUGAUGCAACUAGGGGAAACCAGAUAGCUUAUGAAGCCAAUCUUGUCAGGAGCCUCCAUGUGGGGGAAAAAAAAACAAAACAAAAAACCCCCUAAAGGCUGGGAAAGUCCCAGCAGCUUGAAUAUUGCCCAGGACUCUAGCUACCUUUGCAUUACGAAAGAGACCACUGGAGAGGAUGGCUUAAGACUGGGUAGUAAGCAUGUGGUCAUUUGACCAAAGACACGUAGUCCAAAGUAGCUUUCUGUUUUAAUAUUAUCAUAUGAUCCAAGUCCUACAAACAACAUCCUUGACUGAAAUCGAAAAGAAACAAAACCCUCACUUCUAAGAAGCAGAGCAAGCGGCGUUUUUAGAGACAAAGAAAGGAUAGCUUCUUAACCUAUGACAACACAAAUUUGUUUAGGUUUUCCCUCCACCAAGUAAGUAAGCAAUUAGGUUUUUUACAAUAAAAAUAUCCCCGUGCAUGUGCAAACACCAGAGGCAAUCAUAUAAUUACCCUGCCCAAUCAGAUUCAAUUGCUGACAGUUGAGUUCCCACUGCUCAUUAACUUCAGAUCACAAAGAGGUCUUUAAGGAAGCCCUUUCCUUCUCUUUACAAAGGUUCCUAUGAUGCCGCGAUCAGCCCCGGCACUACCUCAUGCAAGAUAAUCAUCCCCAAAUCACCAGGGCCAAGGCCAGCCUCCUCUGGCUUCCUUCUGAAAAAAUAAAAUGAGAAAUUCGAAGACACCUUGGCUUAAACACCCUUGCUUCAUUUGGGGAUCUCACUUCUAAAUAUAAUAGUAACCUUUCACCCCCACAUUUUAAGUGCCGUAAUUACAUAAUUAAAACCAAUUAUGUCAUUUAACAGAGACUUUGUCAAGAUACGGCAAGCCAAUUACCUCAAUCAUUGACCUCAGAGGAUUUCCCACACUGACCUGAAACAGUGAGAAUUGGGAUAAAUUUAGACACUGGCUUCCGAAGGCUGGCAUGGACUAGCAGGGUGGGUUGUAACUGGUCUAGAUUCUUUGAGACUUUAGAAGCUAAACUGAAUUCAUUCCCAUCUACACCAUCACUACUUGUUUGCACAAUCCUUCCCAUAUCCCAAGAUAAUUGCUUGAUUUUUUUAUAACCACUCUGAUGGAACGAUUACUUCCAUGUUGCAGACAGAAAAAGGAGGCAGGGAGAGUCCUAAAGUUAUCUGAAGUCAAGCAGCUAGUGUUAACAGCAACGCUAGGGCAAGACCUAAGUCUUCCACCACAGAAUUCAAAGUCUCCAUGUAGCGAGUGGUGUGUGGGUGCCUCUCUUACCCCAAUUUCCCUUUGAGGCAACACAUUUGCCCCCACUUUUAUUUAAUUCACCUGCACGGCACAAGGUUCCACUGCAACUCAGGGGGUGUGUCCUAAAUUAGGCCCCAGCCAAUUAGCUUCCAGCAUUCCUCCCCUAGCCACAGCAUUGGUUCAGGAUGAGCACAUGAUCCCAUCAAAGCCAAUGAGAGACACUGACACUUUUUGCAGGGCCUGUGCGAUCUCUGCCUAACUGUGCUUGGAGUGACCGGAGGGAAGACUGGAAGUUAAGCAGCCAUCAUGCUCCACUGAGGAAGUGAGGGUGACUGGAGCCAAGAGAUGUGGAGGGAGAAACUGGUUCCAGGAAACACCCUCUAUUCCCUGUCGCUUCAUGCUGCGAGUUACAGGGGUUAUUCAAAAGCACACUGGAGAAAGCAGGAAGAGCGCCACCUACAGCUUGGGUAGGCUCCAUUUCGAGGAUGGAAUCAAUCCACUGUGGCUCCGAGGCCUGCCUCCUGCUUGCGACAGUUAAAUGCCUUCGGUUUUUGAGUUAUUUAAAGAACAUACCAUUUUAUGGGCAGGAGGAAGCACUUUAAUCUGCAAAAUGAUUUUUAUCACAAACUAAACAUCCUUGUAACUUUUUGGUCCUCUGCUUUGGUCAAAGUUGUCUCUCCUUGGAGCUCAGACAGCUGUUGGAGCUCAGAAGAUCUGCCUCCACCCUGCACUUUGCCCUGCUCGCUGGUACUCUGGUGCUCUCCAAUUCCUGGAUCCAUGUGGGAUGUAAGAACUCAGGAUCAGGACGCCUGCACGCAUCAAAAUGGGGCAUUUUCUUUCUCUUUAUCCCAGGACUUGAGAGAAAGCAAAAAACAAACAAACACAAACAAAAAAAAAAAAAAAAAAAACAAGAAUUCCUCUAAUUUAAGGUUUUUAACCUUGACACUUGAAGUUUUGGGCCAGACAAUUAUUUGUCAUCAGGACUGCUUUGUGCAAUGUAGGAUAUUCCUGGCCUCUACCCACUAGAUGACCCAUUAGCACCCCUCAUUUGGGACAACCAAAAAUGUCCGUGGACAUUGACAAAUAACCAGGGAUGGGGGCCAAGAUCCCCCCUCAUUCCCCAGCUCCCCAUUUCCUGGUUAAAAACCACUGCUGACAGCAUCUUUAAAAACAUAAUUCCUUGUAGUAUUAUGUUGUGAGACUGAGAGAACCACCACCCUCCUUAGAACUUUACAAAAGCCAUAUAAAAUAUCCCCUGAGGAGAACUGACUUAAAGAAACUUCAAGAUAGCAGCCUGCGCAACAUAGUGAAAUCCCAUCUCUACGGAAAAACACACACACACACACACACACACACACACACACACACACACAAAGUAGCCAGGCAUGGUGGCACGAACCUGUAGUACCAACUAUCCGGAAGGCUGAGGCUGAGGUGGGAGGAUUCCUUGAGCCUCGGAGGUCAAGGCUGCAGUGAGCCCUGAUGGUGCCACUGCACUCCAGCUUGGCCGACAGAACGAGACCUUGACUCCAAAAUAGCAAUACUACUGUCUGUCAGGGCUAUGAAGCCACAUGAGACUUGACCCAUUAAGGACAAGAGUGAAGAAAAAUGUAUCAAAUAGAAAUAAUUUUAUCUAAACACUGGCAAGAGGAAAAAGACAUGGAGGAGAAACUUAGAAAUGAAAAGCAGUGAGGCAUCUAUAUGUUUUUCCGAGGCAAAAUUUACAUACCAUCAAGGUCAUCCAUGCAAAUGUUCUAGAGUUGAAAAGAAAGCUCUUUCUACAUCUGCAAGGCUGAUUCAUUUUUCUCCCUUCCAAGAACUCUACUAAAAAAAUUAUUUGUUGCUUAUCUGAAAUGCAAAUGUAACUGGAUGUCCUGUAUUUGUGAAAUUCCGGCAACCCUAAUCCAGGACCAAAGCAGAAUUAACCAAAUAAAUGAAAGUGCAUGUCUAGAAAUAAAUGUACUUUUCUGGA
Homo sapiens (human) is the source of this 3528-nucleotide long non-coding RNA. RefSeq annotates it as ERC2 antisense RNA 1. The transcript is spliced from 3 exons. The record is from RefSeq and is a predicted model, not a curated record. Lineage: Eukaryota; Metazoa; Chordata; Mammalia; Primates; Hominidae.